CACUGGAACAACAUUGCAGAGUAGAUGGUGGCUAUUCUGGAAUUAGAGAUGUUUAUAGCAACCAUCAAAGCCAUGAUGAUGUGCAGCAGAGUUUCUUCCUUUCAGAGACCCUCAAGUACUUAUACUUACUGUUUUCUGAAGAUGAUCUUCUUCCAUUUGAACAUUGGAUCUUCAACUCUGAGGCUCACCCUCUACCAGUUCUUCGCAGAGAUGGUGGAAAGAAGGAAGAAAAACACAAAUAAAACAAUGUUAAGUUAAUUUUUGUUUCAUUCCUUAGAAGUUUCUUUCCAGUUUUGAGCACACAAUGCAGUUUUACUUAAAUUCCUGAGAUAUUUUGAGUUUUAAACCAAUUGUUUUGCAGUCUGUUAUAUUUGCCAGUAAAUAUUUAUGAAUGGACCUAAAUUCAUUACAGCAAAACUUUUAAUCUUAUUUUUCCAGCUGAAUCACCCCCUUUUUUUUUCUUUUUUCUUUUUUAAGAAAUCUGACGUCUCUAGAUUUCAUUAAGCUGCAGUGUCAUCUUUGCCAAAUAGAAUAGAGGGGUCUGCAUGUUACUUGUUUCCUAUUAUACUUUUGAUUUGACUGCAAAAUUCUUUCCUCCUCUGUGAGGAGAUGUCUGCUUUAAGCUGUAAUAUUUUGCCAUGUUGCAAAAAGCCAUAAAGAAUUAGUAUAAAGAGCUUUUUUUUCGUUCUAUGUUAAUUUUUUUUUGUCUGUCAUCUGAGACAAAUCUUGUAACUGUGACAGCCUCUUCUGAUGCGGGUCUAUCGAUUGGUAAAAUAUCUUCUGAAAUUUUUAAUUAUCAAUGACGUCUACGUAGGAAUAGUUUCAUCUCAUGCAGACACAAUUCUGUUUAAAACUGCAGUGUACUUUGAAUUGAACCUAAACAUUUUUACAAAUCCAUUACAUUGGUUGGACAGAUCCUAGUUUUUAUUAAAACUCACCUUUUUGUUUUGUUUAGAAUAUCACUGCAAACUGAAUUGUUUCUUCCAUUUUCUAACUAGAGUUACUAUCACUUCUAUAAUCAGCUUGGUGUGAGCAAAAUAAACAAUUUGAAAAACUGGCAUUAUUGAAUUAUUAAAAAGGGAAUUGUAUCUUAUUUAUAGCUAUUUACGUAAUCUGUUAGCUUUUUCAUUGACCGGAUGUGUGAGGUAAAUGAGAUGUUAUGAAAUUCUUUCUAAAGUUAGACUGUGAAUUAUGCCAAUCAGAGAAUGAGAGAUGAUUUUUUUAAUCUGCUGUGGUCUUUUCAACAAUUCCAUUUGGUUUAGAUUGUGAAUUAAGACAGUCAGCUGGAACAAAGUAUUUUAAUAUAGAUUAUCAAAACAGGAGUUCUGAAGAGCUCAAAGGAAACUUAUCUUCUUUUAAAAAAAAAAAAAAAAAGUAUUGUUUGCGUUGGAAGAUGGAAAUUGACCGGCAUACAAUUAGUACAUUUUGGAAGCCCAGAACAAGAAUGACCAAAGUUAUAGAAAUACAACAUGUUUAAAAGUAUUCUUCAGACAUAAGGCCUAGAUUAUCAAGAAAAAAUACUUUUAAUGGAAUCACCAAAGGGAGAAAUCAGGCACAAUUCCUUUUCUAUUGAGAUGUAUUUUGGAAUAGUUUACAUGAGUAAUUCAUAUGGAUAUUAGGAACUUAACUUUUGAUAUGCAGACAGGAUGACUGUACUGUAUGUUCAGAGUAGGGUGUGACCACUGGCUUCCCAGCAUGAAAAAGUACAUUAUUAGGUUGUGUGACUGCAAAGAAGCCAACAUGGUUCAGAACAGUAAUUCUCAAUUUUCUUUUAAAUAAGUGCAUGUGAUGACUCAAAUAUCCUGCUUAGUCAUUUAGGCACUAUGGUUCCACAGCCGUAAUCAGGUAUAGAUCAUCCUUCACAAAAGAACAAGACCUGUCCCCCCGCCCCUUAGUGCUGGAAAUGCUGCAAUAUAGGUUUUUCAGGUAAAAAUUAGGGACAGAGGAAACUUAUUACCAUUAUGCAAAUCCAAAUAACUUCCUCUGCAGAUGCAGAGGGCCCUUUCCAGCCACACAUGUUGUUCCACUGGAUACAGGAAAGGGUGUGUAUCCCAUGCAAUCUGCUUGGGUGAAGGCAAGGCUGAAGGAUCCACUGCUAUGCUGCUAUCCUCCCCCUUUGGGUUUUGGUGAGAACGUAAAGCCUUUGUGAGGCUAUGCAUCAUUGGGCUGAGUCUGCAGAGAGGAUCUGCUGGGGGUCACACAACUUAAGUGUGGAGGAUCCUGUGCCACACACACAUCUGCCUAGUGCCCUGCCUGGCUGCUCUUAAUCAGUGCUGAGUGCAGGAUUUGAGCCUUCGUUAUCCAUAUAUCUUUGUUCAUUUAACAAUUAUCAGUGACAAGGUAGUCACAUUUUUAGGUAUCUUGUAUUCGAUAAUCCUGGCUCCAUUAAAAUGCAUGGUAAAUCUCCCAUUGACUUCAGGGGCCAGGAUUUGUAUCGCUUGAGGAUAAUAUUAACUGUGUCAUCCUUUUCAUUAUGAAAUUCCCCAAUAUAAUACAAGAUGUUUUUAAAAGGAAUCUAAUUUUGGAGUAAAAACUAAUUUUUUCACUCCUUUCCACUCCAAAAAAAAAAAUGGCAAUAUUAAAUUUUUAUCCAAUUACUUUUAGUCCGUAAACAUCUUAUGCUGCCUGCUGUGUAAUUUUUGUGUACACGCUUCUGUGGGGCCUCAUUUUUUUUAGUCAGAUAAUAACACCAGUAAAAUCAGAAAAACAGUUUUUGGAGACAUAUGUUUUGUUAACCUGGUUUUUACAUUUUCCUGAUCAGAGUCUCAAGAUCACACCCUUAGUGAUCUUGGGACAAAUUGGGGGAAAUUUAUUGUACACACAAAUGUCCCUUACUCCCAGCAAAUAAAGGUAAAGAAUGCAAAAUGGUGAUAUAAAUUGGGGUUUAAGUAUUUAGAUAUAAAUUUCAUGUUGAUUUCCCUGGAAUACAGAAAUUUUGAAGAGUAUAAUUUUUCUGGUUUGGGAGUUAUAAUUUGAAAGAGCACAAAGUUGAUACGUGAUUCUGUUACUAACAGUGUAUUUGGUAUUCCGGUGUACAAACUGCACUGUACUGUACCUUUUGUAAACUAUGUAAGUAGACAAAAAGAUUGUACAACAUGUAGAAUCUGCCAGCUGUAAGAAUACCCUAUUUUGUAAGUUCAGGAGUAUUGAUUUUUUUAAAAAAAAGCCCAGAACACCGAAGUGUGAAAUGUUCUAGUGAUCACCAUUUAAGCAGUCAGCUUUUACCAACUGUUAGCACACAGCUAAUAUGGCAUUUUCCUAGUACUUACAAUAUGAAAUUAACUGUGUGGAAACUGCUGAUUUGAAGACCUCUGUAUAUGUAAUUGAUAAUUCAUAUGGAAGAGAAACUGCUGAAUUUGAAAAAAUGUAAACAGUGUAUCAGAUAUCUUUGUGAAGACAUUGCCUAAACUCUCAUUCCUUUUCAGCAUAUAACAGUUCAGUUAAGUUUACAUGUUAAAUUCUAAAUGGUGAAUAAUUUAAAUGGCACUUAAUUUAAGUUGCAGAAACAACAAUUGUUUUGAUUGUGGAAUUAAUUUUGCAUAUGUUUGUUGUCUGACAGUUCUACAAUACCCAAUGACUCACUAUUUCUAUGGUGACUUCAUCAUAUGUAUUAUCCAUUUCAAUCCAUUAAAUUGUUUUUGAUUUGUACAUAUUCCAUUUAGUCUUUUCCACCUUUAUAUAAAUCUCUGAUGUAAUGAGACACAUAACAGAUCAAGAUGCUUAAUUUUUAAGAACUAUAUUUGUAAAAAUUUCUCUAUUGUGAAUAAAGUCUUUUAAUA
This is a non-coding RNA of Chelonoidis abingdonii (Abingdon island giant tortoise), 3779 nucleotides long. The record is from RefSeq and is a predicted model, not a curated record. Lineage: Eukaryota; Metazoa; Chordata; Testudines; Testudinidae.